UCUAGUAGCUGGUUCCCUCCGAAGUUUCCCUCAGGAUAGCUGGUGCAUUUAAAAAUUAUGUAAAAUAAUCUUAUCUGGUAAAGCGAAUGAUUAGAGGCCUUAGGGUCGAAACGACCUUAACCUAUUCUCAAACUUUAAAUGGGUAAGAACCUCACCUUUCUUGAUAUGAAGGUUGAGGUUAUGAUAUAAUGUGCCCAGUGGGCCACUUUUGGUAAGCAGAACUGGCGCUGUGGGAUGAACCAAACGUAAUGUUACGGUGCCUAAAUUAACAACUCAUGCAGAUACCAUGAAAGGCGUUGGUUGCUUAAAACAGCAGGACGGUGGACAUGGAAGUCGUAAUCCGCUAAGGAGUGUGUAACAACUCACCUGCCGAAGCAACUAGCCCUUAUAAUGGAUGGCGCUUAAGUUGUAUACCUAUACAUUACCGCUAAAGUAUAUGGUUUAUAAAACAAUUGUUUUAUAAAUUUUGAAACUUUAGUGAGUAGGAGGGUACAAUGGUGUGCUUAGAAGUGUUUGGCGUAAGCCUGCAUGGAGCCGCCAUUGGUACAGAUCUUGGUGGUAGUAGCAAAUAAUCGAAUGAGACCUUGGAGGACUGAAGUGGAGAAGGGUUUCGUGUGAACAGUGGUUGAUCACGAGUUAGUCGGUCCUAAGUUCAAGGCGAAAGCCGAAAAUUUUCAAGUUUUAAUAAGAUAAUAAUAAUUAUUUAUAUAUAUAGAUGUUUUUUUUAAAAAUAAAUUAUAUUAAUUAUUAUUAAAUAAUUAAACACUUGAAUAAUUUUGAACGAAAGGGAAUACGGUUCCAAUUCCGUAACCUGUUGAGUAUCCGUUUGUUAUUAAAAAUGGGCCUUGUGCUCAUCCUGGCAACAGGAACGACCAUAAAGAAGCCGUCGAGAGGUAUCGGAAGAGUUUUCUUUUCUGUUUUAUAGUCGUACUACCAUGGAAGUCUUUCGAAGAGAGAUAUGGUAGAUGGACUAGAAGAGCAUGACAUUUACUGUUGUGUCGAUAUUUUCUCCUCGGACCUUGAAAAUUUAUGGUGGGGUUACGCAAACUUCUCAACAGGCCGUACCAAUAU
RNAcentral lists this ribosomal RNA (1071 nucleotides) under Itosigo bellus. RNAcentral describes it as "eukaryotic LSU rRNA". It matches the Rfam family "Eukaryotic large subunit ribosomal RNA", at positions 943 to 1853 of the family's 3401-position model. Lineage: Eukaryota; Metazoa; Arthropoda; Insecta; Diptera; Tephritidae. The record is from RNAcentral.